GGAUGCAAUCGAUUCGCUAUCUCCUCUCGCGGUAAGGGCGUGUUCUUGCCUUCACCCUCUUUUUUCUCUGGUUUACUAUUUAUACAUUUUUUUUUCCUUCUCCAUCUUAAGAUCCGGGAAACGAGUGCUUGAUGCGCUAUGAGUUUGCCUUCCAACUGAAAAAAUGUAAAACAUCCAUGUCAACAGAAGAUAACAUACUGAGAGAAGGAGAGAAAAUAUGAAGGUUUAUUUUGUCAAAAAUACUAUUAAUUUCACUGAUUAAUAAUGACUUCUUAAAGAUUAUUAACCAUAAAAAUCUUCAAGUCGAUUAAUUAACCAGAUCAUGGUCAUAAAUUUAACUGUCGUUUAUGAACAGGCGUGUUCUUUCGGAAACUGAAAACUGAAAAGACACAAAAACGGCAACAGACACCCUUUCAUCAUCUAUAAAUAGAUGAAAAGAUUUGGCCUUUUACAUCAGUGUAUGUGUUAGAAUCAAUUCUUACAAACAUACUUUCUUCAUCAUCUUUGUAGUUAAUAAUCAAGAUUUUUGGCACAAUCACACAAUGGCUGCCAAUAAUAGGAUUCUGAUUAUCGCCAUCAUAAUGUCCGCAUUUUUUCUGAUGGCAAUGGCAGAAGGGGCGGAGAGAAAUACUAAUGCACAUUGCAUGAUAGAGUGCUAUUCCGAAUGCAUGCAAAUCGACAUUUUUACGCACUGGGAUUGCGAGAGCGGGUGCAGAGUUGCCUGUGCAAGAAGAAACACAAGGAAAGUAUCAGUGGAUGGUGAAAAUGGGUUCCUGCCUUCGUGGGCUUAACAGUCAUCACAAUACUUUCACAUUUUCAUGCGUAAUCUUUUCAUUUUAUCUGUCGUUGUGAGAGAAAGCGGUCAAGUUCGGGUUCUUAGUAGAUUUUCCGGAGUUUUGAUAUGACUUAUUCAAUAACAAAGUGAAUGAAUGUCUUCAUUUUCCUG
Molecule: long non-coding RNA, 946 nt
Filed under: Olea europaea (common olive)
Lineage: Eukaryota; Viridiplantae; Streptophyta; Magnoliopsida; Lamiales; Oleaceae
Description: long non-coding RNA (OEUR_LNC008703)
Source: RNAcentral